CCUACGGGAGGCAGCAGUGGGGAAUAUUGGGCAAUGGGCGCAAGCCUGACCCAGCAACGCCGCGUGAAGGAAGAAGGCUUUCGGGUUGUAAACUUCUUUUGAUAGGGAAGAGUAGAAGACGGUACCUGGCGAAUAAGACACGGCUAACGACGUGCCAGCAGCCGCGGUAAUACGUAGGUGGCAAGUGUUGUCCGGAUUUACUGGGUGUAAAGGGCGUGUAGCCGGGUUGACAAGUCAGAUGUGAAAUCCUGAGGCUUAACCGAAGAACGGCAUUUGAAACUGUUGAUCUUGAGUACUGGAGAGGCAGACGGAAUUCCUAGUGUAGCGGUGAAAUGCGUAGAUAUUACGAGGAACACCAGUGGCGAAGGCGGUCUGCUGGACAGCAACUGACGGUGAGGCGCGAAAGCGUGGGGAGCAAACAGGAUUAGAUACCCCUGUAGUC
Molecule: ribosomal RNA, 442 nt
Filed under: uncultured bacterium
Lineage: Bacteria
Description: partial 16S ribosomal RNA
Rfam family: Bacterial small subunit ribosomal RNA
Source: RNAcentral